GUGUCAGCCGCCGCGGUAAGACGAACCGUGCGAACGUUGUUCGGAAUCACUGGGCUUAAAGGGCGCGUAGGCGGGCGACCAAGUCAGGGGUGAAAUCUUUCGGCUUAACCGGAAAAUAGCUUCUGAUACUGGUUGUCUUGAGGGAGGUAGGGGUCUGUGGAACUUCUGGUGGAGCGGUGAAAUGCGUAGAUAUCAGAAGGAACGCCGGUGGCGAAAGCGACGGACUGGACCUCAUCUGACGCUGAGGCGCGAAAGCUAGGGGAGCAAACGGGAUUAGAUACCCCUGUAGUCC
This 292-nucleotide ribosomal RNA is filed under the name uncultured bacterium. RNAcentral's name for it is "partial 16S ribosomal RNA". It matches the Rfam family "Bacterial small subunit ribosomal RNA", at positions 505 to 796 of the family's 1533-position model. The record is from RNAcentral.